This 899-nucleotide ribosomal RNA is filed under the name Hypoxylon fragiforme. RNAcentral's name for it is "LSU rRNA". It matches the Rfam family "Eukaryotic large subunit ribosomal RNA", at positions 38 to 964 of the family's 3401-position model. Lineage: Eukaryota; Fungi; Ascomycota; Sordariomycetes; Xylariales; Hypoxylaceae. The record is from RNAcentral.
GCAUAUCAAUAAGCGGAGGAAAAGAAACCAACAGGGAUUGCCCUAGUAACGGCGAGUGAAGCGGCAACAGCUCAAAUUUGAAAUCUGGCCCUCGUGGUCCGAGUUGUAAUUUGUAGAGGAUGCUUUUGGUGCGGUGCCUUCCGAGUUCCCUGGAACGGGACGCCAGAGAGGGUGAGAGCCCCGUACGGUUGGACACCUACCCUAUAUAUAGCUCCUUCGACGAGUCGAGUAGUUUGGGAAUGCUGCUCUAAAUGGGAGGUAAAUUUCUUCUAAAGCUAAAUACCGGCCAGAGACCGAUAGCGCACAAGUAGAGUGAUCGAAAGAUGAAAAGCACUUUGAAAAGAGGGUUAAAUAGCACGUGAAAUUGUUGAAAGGGAAGCGUUUGCGACCAGACUUUUUCCAGGGGGAUCAUCCGGUGUUCUCACCGGUGCACUCCGCCUGGUUUAGGCCAGCAUCGGUUCUCUUAGGGGGAUAAAGGCUUGGGGAACGUAGCUCCUUCGGGAGUGUUAUAGCCCCUUGCGUAAUACCCUUCGGGGGACCGAGGAUCGCGCUCUGCAAGGAUGCUGGCGUAAUGGUCGUCAACGACCCGUCUUGAAACACGGACCAAGGAGUCGAACAUUUGUGCGAGUGUUUGGGUGUUAAACCCUCACGCGUAAUGAAAGUGAACGGAGGUGAGAGCCCUUACGGGUGCAUCAUCGACCGAUCCUGAUGUCUUCGGAUGGAUUUGAGUAAGAGCAUAACUGUUCGGACCCGAAAGAUGGUGAACUAUGCGUGGAUAGGGUGAAGCCAGAGGAAACUCUGGUGGAGGCUCGCAGCGGUUCUGACGUGYAAAYCGAUMGUCAAAUCUGCGCAUGGGGGCGAAAGACUUAUCGAACCAUCUAGUAGCUGGUUACCGCCGA